AACAGAUCUUAGUAAACAGACUACUUCAGAGCGCCACUAGAGGGCACUGUCACAAAAGAUCCAUUAAACGCAAAUAUAACCAAAGUAAACAAAGGUUUAUUGAAACUGAACACAAUAACCAGAGUAGUAUGGCUCACCACUAAAGGGCGCUGUCACUGAAAAUACAGUACGUGAAGAAGCCAGCUGGCUAGUGUGCCUUUUUCCACCACAAAAAGUUCAAGUUGCUUCAGAAGAUCCUCAAGACGUUCUACACAUGCACCGUCGAGAUCAUCCUGACUGGGAGCAUCAUCACCUGGUUUUGGGAGCACCGUGCAGGACAGCCCAACCCCACACCGAGUGUUGCACAUUGUGUCAAGCACAAUCCAAAAAGCAGAAUUAAAGGUAU
Brienomyrus brachyistius is the source of this 385-nucleotide long non-coding RNA. RefSeq lists it as uncharacterized. The record is from RefSeq and is a predicted model, not a curated record. The transcript is spliced from 3 exons. NCBI's taxonomy places the organism in Eukaryota, Metazoa, Chordata, Actinopteri, Osteoglossiformes, Mormyridae.